GUAAAGCUGAUGGUGCUGUUCACAUCAGAAAUUGCAGCACUGAAGAACAGAGUUCAUGCAGACUUUUACAACAUGCAUCAGCUACAGCAUUUGUUUGUUGAUGGUACCAGCUGUCAAAAACCAAGCAAGUGGCAGUGCUAGAGGUGCCACAAAAGUGCGAAGGAAGUGUCAGGCUGGAUGUCAAAAUGAACACCUUGGAGAACUGGAUGAUGGAACAGACGGUAAAAAUCAGCUAAACAUCAGAGAAAAUGGAGGAAGAGGUCAAAACUGUGAACAGGAACUAGAAGAAAGUGUAGCAGAAAAAGACUUGUCACAAACUUCGAGAGAUUUGGAGAAAAUGAUGUCAAAACACAUCUUCCUCAAGCCCAUGCUGAGUAUCUCUGAUUUGGUUAAUUUCUUGAUUGUCCCAAAUUUGGCCAAUGAAAAAGUCCUUCAAGGCCAGGUGUGGUAGCUCAUGCCUAUAAUCCCAGCAUUUUGGGAGGCUGAGGCAGAUGGAUCACCAGAGGUCAAGAGUUUGAGACCAGCCUGGCCAACAUGGUGAAACCCUGUCUCUACUGGAAAAAAAAAAAAAAAAUUAGCCGGGUGUGGUGGCAAGUACCUAUAACUCAGCAGGCUGAGGCAGGAGAAUCACUUGAACCUGGGAGGCAGAGGUUGCAGUCAGCUGAGAUCAUGCCACUGCACUCCAGCCUGGGAGAAAGAGCAAGACUCUGUUUCAAAAAAAAAAAAAGAAAAAAAAAAAAAAGUCCUUCAAGUUGACUUCUAUAUCUUUUUUUUAAAAAAAACAGCUUUAUUGAGAUCUAAUUUCCCUACCAUACAGUUCACCCAUUUACAGUACACAGUUCUAUGGUUUUAGUUUAUUCAGAGUUGUGCAAGCAUCAUCACAGUCAAUUUUAGAACAAUCAAAUUUAGUUCAUUACCCCUAAAAGAAACUGUUACCCAUUAGUGGUCACUUCCUAUUCCCCUCAACUCUUGCAGCCCUAGGUAACUGCUAAUCCACCGUCUCCAUAGAUUUGCCUAUUCUGGAUGUGUCAUACGAAUGGAAUCAUCUAUGUGGUCUUCUGUGACUGGCUUCUUUCACUUGGCAUGUUUUCAUGGUUCACCCACAUUGUAUAAAAAUGUCCGUCUACAUUCUGUAGCAUUGAUUUUACUGCCAUUUUAACAUUCCAUAUUAUGGAUAUACUGUAUUUUACUUACCCAUUCAUCAGUUGAUGGGUAUUUGGGUUGUUUCCACUUUUUGGCUCUUGUGAAUAAUGCUGCAAUAACCAAUCAUGUACAAGUUUUUGUAUGAACAUACGUUUUAAUUUACCUUGCAUACAUAUAUAGGAGUGGAACUGCUGGGUCAUAUGGUAACUUUAUGCUUAAUCUUUUGAGAAACUUCCAGACUGCUUUCCAAAGGGGCUGUAUUAUUUGACAUACUUUUUCUUUUUCCUUUCUUUUGAGACAAGGUCUCACCCUGUUGCUCAAGCUGGAGUGCAGUGGCACGAUCACAGCUCACUGCAACCUUGACCUGCUGGGCCCUAGCGAUCCUACCAUGUUAGCCUCCCAAAGAGUUGGAAUUACAGGUGUGAGCCACUGUGCCCAGCCUCCAUUUGACAUUCUUACCAGCCAUGUAUGAGAGUUCCAGUUUCUCCACAUCUUCAUCAACACGUUACCUUUUUUAUUAUAGCCAUCCUAGUGGCUAUAAUUGUGGUUUUGAUUUGCAUUUCACUGAGGCUAAUGAUACUGACUCAGUGUUUCUCAAGGUACCUUUGGUCCCAAAAAUUCAUGUUUUAUUUUAUAUCCAGAAAACUAUCUUCAGUUAUAGCUUUCUUUCAUUGUUAUGUUUCUUUUCUUUGGAGACUUCAAUGAUGCAUAUGUUAACUUCUGUCUAUCUUCUAUAUCUCUCACUUUUUUUCUAAUAUUUUUCCUUCUUUUCCAAAUUUGUUUUGGGUUCUCUUGGCUGUUUUAAAUUUAUUUUCAAUGUUCCUUCUUGACUUUUAAGGCUAACCUAUUUUCCCGUGGACACAAUGUAAUUUAGUUUCCAUAUCUCAAGAUUAUUUUGGCUUUUUCUUCUACUUCUUUCCUGAAUUUCAUCAGUUCUCAUUUUAUAGUUUUCUGCUUUGUGUCCAUUUCUAUUUUGAGUUUUUUAAUGUCUGAUUUUUGGUAUUCUUUAUAGCUACAGCUGCUUACUAAAUGAUAUUUAAUUCAUAUGAAGAAUACUGUUAGUUUUCCUCUGCUUUUUGGCUGUUGGAUGGAAUUGUGGUUGGUGGAAAGAAUUUUCAUUAGUUAAAAUGGUUUUUAAUUUUUUUCUUGUAGUUACUUUAUAUGGAUGUUGGUUGCUGUUCUGUUUAGUUCAAAAUACCUCGGAUCUGACCAGGUGUGGUGGCUCACACCUGUAAUCCCAGCAAUUUGGGAGACCAAGGCAGGUGGAUCAACUGAGGUCAGGAGUUCAAGAACAGCCUUACCAACAUGAUGAAACCAUCUCUUCUAAAAAUACAAAAAUUACCCAGGCGUGGUGGUGGGUGACUCUAAUCCCAGGUACUUGGGAGGCUGAAGCAGGAGAAUCCCUUGAACCUGGGAGGUGGAGGUUGCAGUGGGCCAAGAUCGUGCUACUGCACUCCAGCCCCAGCUGGGUGACAGAGUGAGACACUGUCUCAAAAACAAAACAAAAACAAAAACAAAACAACCUGUCAAUAUCACUGGGGAAAGAGUUUGUCAAACUCCAAGGCAAUUUUCAGUGAGAAUGACACUAAGUUUCAGACUUCAGGGCAAUAGGAAUGAUGUCAGACUUCAAUUACAUUCCCCAUGAAGAACCAGACAGCUAGAGUGUCGCUAUGUACUUUUAAAAGAUGACUGAGGAUGGAGACAAGUGAGUUGGCAGACAGUGGCAACCUCUGGAAGACAGAAUCUUCUCUGCUGGUUCCCAGGCUGCUGCUCCGAAAGUCCCAAAACACGCACCUGGCCUCUCCUGCAUUCCCACUGGCUGCACCUUGCUCCUGCCCAGAAUGAAAUCUGGCUCCUGGCCACCAAGCAAGAAGCCACCAGCUGACCAAAAUUUUUAAUUAAAAAAAAAAAAUUAGUUCAAGUGCCCACUGGGAGACAAAACUCUGAACCAAUGACCAAUAGUUUCUUCCACAGCAGAAUAUCAUUGCUGGUAACAAUGGGUGUGGUAUUUCUCAAAUCAUACCUAAUGAUUCUUCUCAAAAUUUAUACUUUGCUUUUCCUCAAACCAGCUGGUUUAGAUAUUUUAGUACAAUGCUUUCACCAGAACCUACAACAAUGGUUCCUAUUAACUGAGAACUGAAAUUGAUGUGGUCUCCUCAUGCCACAGGUCACAUGUUGUUUGGUGACUGAUUUUGACUCUCAGGAGGAAGUGGGGUUGCUGUUACACCACGGAGGCAAGAGGAGCAGUAAUAGAACACAGGAGAUCUCCUGAGGCACCUCAUCACUCUCAUGCCAGGGCACAAGUUGAUGGCAAUGUACUGUACCACCUACAGACAAACUACAGACAACCUACCUACAGGCAACCUCCUCAAGAACAAAAGCUUGCUUAACCCAACCAGGCAAAGAAUCCUGGCCAGCUGAGGGGUUGCGUGAAGGAAAGAGGGACCUGGAAUGGUUAGCGGAGAAGGAAAAUUGUAAAUGACAAUAAAGCUUCAUUACCAGUUACAAAAAUGAA
Long non-coding RNA from Homo sapiens (human), 3658 nucleotides. RefSeq annotates it as long independently transcribed non-coding RNA 2576. The transcript is spliced from 3 exons. Lineage: Eukaryota; Metazoa; Chordata; Mammalia; Primates; Hominidae. The record is from RefSeq and is marked validated.